Molecule: ribosomal RNA, 105 nt
Filed under: uncultured bacterium
Lineage: Bacteria
Description: partial 16S ribosomal RNA
Rfam family: Bacterial small subunit ribosomal RNA
Source: RNAcentral
CCUUGUACACACCGCCCGUCACACCAUGGGAGUGGGUUGUACCAGAAGUAGGUAGAAUAACCGCAAGGGGUUCGCUUACCACGGUAUGAUUCAUGACUGGGGUGA